UGGGGAAUUUUUCGCAAUGGGCGAAAGCCUGACGCAGCAACGCCGCGUGGGUGAUGAAGGUCUUCGGAUCGUAAAACCCUGUCGUCGGGGACGAAGGUGGAGGGGUUAAUAGCCUCUUUGCUUGACGGUACCCGGAGAGGAAGCCCCGGCUAACUCUGUGCCAGCAGCCGCGGUAAUACAGAGGGGGCAAGCGUUAUUCGGAAUUAUUGGGCGUAAAGGGCGCGUAGGCGGCUUUUUAAGUGAGAUGUGUAAUCCCUGAGCUCAACUUGGGAACUGCAUCUCAUACUGGGAGGCUAGAGUACUGGAGAGGGUAGUAGAAUUCCACGUGUAGCGGUGAAAUGCGUAGAGAUGUGGAGGAAUACCAGUGGCGAAGGCGGCCACCUGGACAGUAACUGACGCGGAGGCGCGAAAGUGUGGGUAGCAAACAGG
Molecule: ribosomal RNA, 429 nt
Filed under: Bacillota bacterium
Lineage: Bacteria; Bacillati; Bacillota
Description: Firmicutes bacterium partial 16S ribosomal RNA
Rfam family: Bacterial small subunit ribosomal RNA
Source: RNAcentral